GCCCUUAUAGCUCAGUCGGUAGAGCACCUCCAUGGUAAGGAGGGGGUCGUCGGUUCAAUUCCGACUGAGGGCU
Molecule: transfer RNA, 73 nt
Filed under: Spirochaetes bacterium GWF1_49_6
Lineage: Bacteria; Pseudomonadati; Spirochaetota
Also listed under: 1 other name
Description: tRNA-Thr
Rfam family: tRNA
About the family: Transfer RNA (tRNA) molecules are approximately 80 nucleotides in length. Their secondary structure includes four short double-helical elements and three loops (D, anti-codon, and T loops).
Source: RNAcentral